GACGAACGCUGGCGGCGUGCCUAACACAUGCAAGUCGAACGAGGUCCAUGCAGUGGCAACACUGCGGAAGACCUAGUGGCGAACGGGUGAGUAACACGUGAGGAACCUGCCCCGAAGACCGGGAUAACUCUCCGAAAGGAGCGCUAAUACCGGAUGCCCCCACCGAACCGCAUGGUUUGGUGAGGAAAUGGAUUCCGCUUCGGGAGGGCCUCGCGGCCUAUCAGCUAGUUGGUGGGGUAACGGCCCACCAAGGCAUCGACGGGUAGCUGGUCUGAGAGGACGAUCAGCCACACUGGGACUGAGACACGGCCCAGACUCCUACGGGAGGCAGCAGUGGGGAAUCUUGCGCAAUGGGCGAAAGCCUGACGCAGCAACGCCGCGUGGGGGAUGAAGGCUUCGGGUUGUAACCCUUUCAGCAGGGACGAAUCAAGACGGUACCUGCAGAAGAAGCCCGGCUAACUACGUGCCAGCGCCGCGG
Molecule: ribosomal RNA, 478 nt
Filed under: uncultured bacterium
Lineage: Bacteria
Description: bacterial SSU rRNA
Rfam family: Bacterial small subunit ribosomal RNA
Source: RNAcentral